This 245-nucleotide long non-coding RNA is filed under the name Elaeis guineensis (African oil palm). RNAcentral's name for it is "long non-coding RNA (EGUI_LNC074032)". The record is from RNAcentral. Lineage: Eukaryota; Viridiplantae; Streptophyta; Magnoliopsida; Arecales; Arecaceae.
CAGCAGCCACAGGCUUCAGUGUGCCUGGAAAGGGUGUCACUGGAACACCAGAAUCCGACGGUGGGGUGGGCCACUUGGACCAGCCGUCCUGUCUUCCCUGGGAAGACGAACCCAAGGGUGGAGAGCCCUCAAUCGGAUCACGACUCCACCCCUGGAAGAUCCCUACCCCCAUUCUGCCAGAGGACCCUCGAGACCCGAAGUCAAGAGGAUUUUCUGGACCGGAGACUCCAAGAGAUGAACCGGUG